RNAcentral lists this transfer RNA (72 nucleotides) under Capra hircus (goat). It matches the Rfam family "tRNA". From Rfam's summary of the family: Transfer RNA (tRNA) molecules are approximately 80 nucleotides in length. Their secondary structure includes four short double-helical elements and three loops (D, anti-codon, and T loops). Further hydrogen bonds mediate the characteristic L-shaped molecular structure. tRNAs have two regions of fundamental functional importance: the anti-codon, which is responsible for specific mRNA codon recognition, and the 3' end, to which the tRNAs corresponding amino acid is attached (by aminoacyl-tRNA synthetases). tRNAs cope with the degeneracy of the genetic code in two manners: having more than one tRNA (with a specific anti-codon) for a particular amino acid; and 'wobble' base-pairing, i.e. permitting non-standard base-pairing at the 3rd anti-codon position. Lineage: Eukaryota; Metazoa; Chordata; Mammalia; Artiodactyla; Bovidae. The record is from Rfam by way of RNAcentral. RNAcentral also lists the same sequence under 1 other name.
UCCCUUGUAGUUCAGUUGGUAAAGAACCUGCUUGCAAUGCAGGAGACCCAGGUUCGAUUCCUGGAUUGGAAA